GUGGUAGCUCAGUCGUAGAGCACCUGCUCUGCAUUCGGAAGGUCCCGGGUUCGAAUCCUGACAUCUCCC
Molecule: non-coding RNA, 69 nt
Organism: Podarcis lilfordi (Lilford's wall lizard)
Lineage: Eukaryota; Metazoa; Chordata; Lepidosauria; Squamata; Lacertidae
Source: the annotation of a GenBank genome assembly